Long non-coding RNA from Astyanax mexicanus (Mexican tetra), 318 nucleotides. RefSeq lists it as uncharacterized. The transcript has 3 exons. Lineage: Eukaryota; Metazoa; Chordata; Actinopteri; Characiformes; Acestrorhamphidae. The record is from RefSeq and is a predicted model, not a curated record.
GUCAGGUGUGCUAAGAGCGGAGAACGCUAACAGCAGGGCGGCGGGUCUCCGGUAACAGCGCUGAGACACACUGCCUCCAGAAGUGGCACAAUAAAUAACAGAGGAACUGGGGUGCUGCUUGUAGUCACUAACCUGGACCAAGAACAGCCAGAGAAUGGAGAUGCAGAAGUGAACAAGCAGCUCAAACAUUGCUGAAAAAAGGACAAGAAGUCUAAUAAUCCUCUACAGGGACAGGAGUGCAUGCUGAUGAUAUGAAGGAGUUCAGGAAGCCCCUCAGCUCCUCUUCAGCUGAAGGAGGGAUGUGAGGAGCCUCUUACC